This is a long non-coding RNA of Oreochromis aureus, 11641 nucleotides long. NCBI's taxonomy places the organism in Eukaryota, Metazoa, Chordata, Actinopteri, Cichliformes, Cichlidae. The record is from Ensembl.
GUCGGUCACAUCUCCUAAAAAUAUCCCCCCUCUACUCUGUAUCACUGUCUGUGUUUCUCAGCAGACUCCUUUUACACAGAACAAGUCCUUGUCUUUAGGGAACACGGCAGUAAAGGGGUGUUACCAAAGAAUUCUAUUAGAAGCGGGUGUAACCCACAGCGAUAUGAACCGUGUUCUCAGUUCUCUCUGGUUUAAGUAGGAGGAAAAACAGUCGUCUCUGUUGCUUCAUCUUGCAGUAACCUGCUUUUUUCAGGUCAUUCGGCUCUUAGGAGGUAACUUACAAAGGGUGGACGAGAGGCUGGCACUGACAAGGACGUGCAAGGGAACAAACUGCCUGUGGGUCCCUUUUCUGUACUAAUGGCACAAAGGAUGUUGAAUGAAAGUGGGCAAGAUGGCCGAUCAGUCCUGGGAAUGUUGGAGGUGCAGGUAGAGCGGGACCCCAAGACAGGCGCCACCAUUGUUAGGUCAGUGGCUCCUGUGUCCACACCAGCUGGUGCUCCAAAGGCUACCACUGUCUUUGACGACGGCAGGAGGAGCAUCCACACUAUCAGUGGGUCAGCAGAUCAACCCUCGUCUGAAGAGCUCGGGCAUAUCUUGAGCGUCAUCGACGGGGUUGGGAUGAAAGUGCUGCUGAAUGAAGUUACAGUCACACCAACCAAGACAGAGACAGAGACAGUAGAAGCUAGCAAAGGCUCAGAGAAAAAAGGCCUGUCGCUUUACACCCAUCCCAGCACGUCAAAGGAAGACUACAGGCCGUUCGGCGGUUCUAGAAGCGAUGAUUUAGAAGUUGAGCUGAGCAGUGAGAAGUGUGUUGUAAGUGUGGGAAACACAGAUGAUAAAAACACGAUGGCAGUGAGAGACACUUUGGAAAAAGUAGAUAUCGUGGAGAAUCAGAUGUUGGAGGAAAGUCCUGUCACACUUGUGUUCUUGGGAUACGCUGAUGCUACAACUGACCAGAGUCAGAGCCAAGAGGAGCAGGAAGGCAUGAUCACUGUGGAACGAGUGAUAAUCACGGAGGAUGGAGAAGAGCAUGUCUUAGGACCUGAAAUGCCUCCUCCACUUUAUUCACCAUUAGACCAGGUAGCAGAGCAAGGCACCGGGAAAGAGUCCAAAGAUGAAGCAGUUCAGGAUAUUCCCUCGGGUGGAAACGGAGCUGGAGUCAAUGUGCAGGCAGAGGAAGGUGAUAAAGAGUCACAUAAUGCAUCUCCACCAGGCAUAACAGAGGGAAAAGGCAGUUCUAAGCACAGGAGCUGCCGGUGUUGCUCUGUCAUGUAAGAAAUGGUUGAAGAAAGACUCCCUGUAUACCAUGUAUACACUGCUUCCUUUAUAUGUUGCUUUAUAUGAGUGGGUUUAAUAGCAUACUACACCAUCACCCACCAUUCCACCUCCCCUUGAUAAUAAAAAUGGCAUUUAUAUAUUUGUGCAUCUUCUACAAAGCUCUACAAAGUGCACUAAAGUCCACUUCCACCCCCUACUGGACAGAAAUAAGAACUUCAAGCAAGCAAGCUUAUCCAACAGAAAAAAUCCACACUAAUUGUUUAGCCAUGGUUCCUGUAGAAAUGGGGGAAAAAAGUAUGCCAUCCUUUAGCAUGCACAUCCUAAUGCUUAUGGUGUCCCUCACUGUUUCUGGUAUUAAAAAUGCAACUGAGGGCUGAGAUUUUGAGUGUUUCUGAGUUUUGAUGCAUCACCUUUACACGUUGAGUUUCUUAAGACGGAUUCAGAGUCACCAUUUCUGUGUAAAAAUCCAAGCAUUAACAUUUUGAGAAAUUAUCUCACUCUUGCUCAGAGUUACAUGAGAAACAUUAAACUUUUCUAAUGUCUGUGCAGUUACUGUGAAGCUAAAACCAGCAUCUGGUUACUGCUGCGCUCGGGCUGACAUGGCAACAAGACAUUUUUAUCUCUCAGUUUCUGUACUGAUUAGGCAAACACUGAUUAGGUGUUAAUUAGAAGUUCUGGCUGGCAGAUUUUUUUUAAACCUCCUGGCAGUUGGGCUUGUUGGUUUCACGUUCAUGCCAAGUUAAUAAAAUUGGUUUGUAGAAUUUGUUUAAUAUUUUUCAGUGCCACUUAUCGUCUCAUCUAAUUCUUGGGGAAAGAAAGUAAAUAGCAUACCGCCCACCUUCUUGAACUAUGCCUUCACUAUUUUAGACCUGAUAUAUACAUUAAAAAAUACUUCUAGAAUUGUUUGAAACACUUGAAAAACCCUAUUGGCAAUACAAGAAGAACAAUAUGUUCUUCCUGUAUAUUCACUGUAGAAAAUCUGGAAAUCACUGUCUUUUUCUGACCUUUGUGUAAUUUUUUUUCUCACUGAAUUUAGAUAUAAAACUGAUUUAUGGCAGUGGAUGUUAAAUGGGAUAUGUUGUAAUAUGACAGAUUCCAGUUGGUGUAUUGAUUGAGUUUUACAAUUAGAUUUGAGAUGUACUCACAAUUUCACACUAAAGCAGCAAACAUGCAGACCUUCUGUAUUUGCUUCUGUAUCAUGCACUGAAAUACAUAAAAGAAUUGAGAUUUUCCAGCACAUUUUUUUGACUUUAAAUUCUCAAUUUAAAUUCACGUGACAUCUUUGUAUUUCUAAGAUUUCCUUUAUUUAAGGUGUUUAGGUGUGUAAAAACAGUAAUUAUACCAACAAAAAAUACUGACCACUGCUGUAGUACAAUUAACCAGCAAAUGGGUUUAUCAUAUGAAGAUAUCCUGUUAAUUUGAGAUGAUUAUGUUAUAUAAGCUGUUAAAUGUAACUUUACAUCAAAAUCUUGAAUAAACAACAGAUCUUCAAGUUUAAAGAAGGUAAACCCACAUAUUAAAUGACUGGAUUUAUCUUUAUUUAACACCAUAAAGUAUGUAAUUGUAAUAUACUGUUAAUUUAUGAUCAUAUUAAGUUUAAUAUGAUUCUUUAUAAAUAACUUAAGAUUGAAAUAUGAAAUGUUUCACAAAAGUUUAAUGUAAAAAAAAUUAAAUUCCUGGAUUUAAGUUGUAAAAAACAAUUUUAAAAUGGUUAACCUUGAAUAUAAUAUUAUUAUUAUAAUUAAAACAAGCUGCUGUCAUAUGUAAUGUGUUUUUUCCCACAUAAAAUUAAUGGAUGGACAUUUUAAAAAUAUGUUGUUAAUUAAAGAUCACAUUCUUUUUUACAAAAAAAACUUGUUAAACCUUUAUUUUAAUAUGGUUAUCAGAGUAACAUUUACAAAUGUAUAUUUGAAAUCAUUUAAAGUAUUCUUACAAUUUUAUGACGAUGCAAUGUCAUGAAGGACUUAAUGACUGCUAUAAGACUGAUUCAUCACUUCACCUGAAAUUAUCACCUGUUUAAAGUAAAUUUUUUAUAAGUAUUUUGCCUGCAGCAUUGUGGUCAAAUGACAAAUCAUGAAAUGAUUUGUCAUUUUACUUUACAAUGCCAUCAUCAAACAAUUAGAAUUAGAACAUUUAAUCAUCAUACAAGAAACAGAACACAUUUACACAAAGGUGACUCAUACCACACCGUUUUCUCCUGGUACCUCAGACACCACCAAAAAACACACACAAAAAAGAAGUAAAACUACUAAAACCUUCAAUCCAACGUAUAUAGCAGUGUAAUAUUGAAACAGAAUGAAUUAGUAGACCUCCUUGAAGACCUUGUGCUGCAGGCACAUCACAAAAACAGCAAAAAAGUCCACUCAUACACAAAUAAACGGUGUUUCAGUCCAGGUACAAUAUACAGCAGUGCCAUAUUCAAACAGAACCGGCUGAAUGCUUUAAAGGAACCUGGUGCAAAAAUCACACACGUACAAAAAAGACCUACUUGUACACUCAUAAACUGUCGUCCAGGUACAAUAUAUAGCACUGUCAUAUCCAAACAGAAUUCAAUAGCUGGCAUCCUUGAAGGACUUUGUGUUGUACAGACCUCACAAAACCUAAAACAAAAAACUGUCCCCUUCUCGACAAAUGAAUCGUAUCUCAUUCAAAUACAAACGAGGUCAGUAGGAAAUGAGGAACAGUUGAAGAACAGUAGAAAUUUGCAAAGAGUGUGCUUACGAUGAUACAAUUGCAUUUGGAGCCUGUUGCUACAUAUGCGAGUGAAUUGGAAAAAAAACACAUACAUUUGUAUGAAUCCAUAGUCAUUGGUAUGCUUAGAUGUCAAUAACCUGGUAGCCCUGUAUUUUAGUGAAUGACAGUUUGAAUGGUGAUAAAAACCCCUUUGCAAAUGUCCACAUAAUCAACCAAAGGCUGUAAGUGCAUGUGAAAGAGCGCAUAACUUUCAUGCAAAGACCCAUCCUUUCUUUAUACGACAAUUAAACACCAGCAUAAACUGCAACCUCCAAAACUGGCAGAUGUUCAGUCAGUAGUAGGAGGCAAACAUCAACACAACACCACCAGAAGACUGUGAUGUGGCCAUACCCAAUGGUCUGACCCACAGAUAAUAUGAAGUACUCUGCUGCCAAAGAAGAACUUCCUGCUGUACACAUAAAUAAGACAGGGGCUCUGUAUCAUGCAUGAUGUCAAGUUGAGGUAAAUAUAAUGAGGUGGUGAAUUUAACUAAAUAAAACCAGGUGUUCGUUAUGACUCAGUCAAAAUCAGGCUUUAAGGAUAACAUGUCUCACAGUGUGAUGAAGCAUUCAGAAGACGACACUGCUGAUAAAAGUUUCUAAUUCCUGUCCUUCAAUAUGCAGGGAAAUCAGAGGGAAAAGGCCAAUGCAGAACUUGCUGGAGAAUCAUCAGAAUUUUACAUUUUCUUUAACCUCAAGUAAUCUAGUAGAAGCUGACUGUAAAUGGAUGGUUAUCUUAAAAAAAAAAAAACCUGUAAACAGCUCAAUCAGGAAAAACUGGGACUCCAAGUCUGACAUUACAAAGAUUCAAUUUAUGAGGCCCCUUUUAAUCUGAUGCAUGUGCUUUAACUCAGAGAACCAAAACAGGCUGUGUUAGCUUAGCUUUACAGGCACUUUGUACUGCAAUGGGGGGAAAUUCCUUCAUGUAUUCAGCCAUGGAGUAACAUCUACCGGGACAGAUCUUAAAUAAUGAGGGGUCACCUUAAUGGGCUCCUGAACGAAAGAAGAAAUUUCAUUCACGUAGACACCUUUUCUGAUUUUAUAAAAGAAAUGGUUGGCAAAUGCAAGCUACGAAAAAAACAAAGAGCUGGAGAACGAAAAACAAAAACAUUGAAGCAACAGAAGGCAGAUGUGAAUGAAGUUAACGAUGCACACAUCCAAGCUGAAGUACUCAAGGAGCAGAAGGAAUUUCAGAGUAAGAAACAUCUGGAGGAGAUGACAACUGGAGCAGAAAUACAAAGAUCUGGAGGAGAAGAAUAAACUUCUGCAGAAAAAACAUCAGCUCCAGGAGAAAUUUAUGCAGCCUCAAGAGCCAGAGAACAUAAAAAGUCAGUAUGCACAGCUGGAGGAAAAAAAUAAACAGCUGGAGCUCGAACACCAAAUAAUGGAGAAAAAGAUCCAUCAGGAAGUAUCAGAACUGGAAGCAAAGUUAAAAGAUGCACACAUGAUCAUUGAAAUAGAGAAUGAUUGCAAGCAAAAACUGGAAAACUGGAGGCUAGAAAUGCUGAAAUACUCAAAGAAAAGAUGCAACUGGAAAAAGAGCACAAAGAAAUGGAGAUCAAAAAGUUUGAACUGCUUGAGGAAAAAGCCCAGUCUGCGCAAAAACAAGAAGAAUUGGUCCAGAUGUAUGAGGAACAGCUGAACAAAAACAGAGAAAUUCAAAAGGACAAAAUAGAACAGCUGCAAAAAUAUGCAGCAUUGUUGACAAAGAAUAAAGAACUGCAGACCAAACACUUGCAGAAGGAGCACAAAGAGCAAAUUCAGAAAUGUAAAAAACCUGAAGAAAAGCUACAAGCAUUGAUCGAAGAGUUCAAGGAAAUCCAUAAAGUGUAAAAAAAAAUUAAGAUAACACACGUGCAAAAAGUGGAAAACAAAAGAAUAAAGAGAAAAAACAUUUCAGACUCUUCAGGUCCAAGUCAAGCCAGGAGGAAGCUGAGAAAACAAUGAAACAACAACAAGAAAAAGAAGAAGAAAAUGGAACAGGAAAAAAAGCUGAAGAUGAGAAAAGGCACCUGGUCCUGCACACUUAAAAAUGCUGAGUUAUUUCAUAACUCAACUUCUGGGUAAAAGCCGUGGGGUCGUAAGUUGGGUUAGUUUGACCAAAUAUGGGGUUCAAAACUCGUGACUUUAUCAAGUAAAUAAAAACUGCAUAUCUGUGAACUAAUCAUAAGUUAUCUACAGUAUUUUUACAGUUUGUUGGGGGAAAAAAUGUAAGAAGCAAAAUUUUUCCGUUAAAAAAAUUGACUUUUUUGAUGUUAAUUCAUGUAUUUCAAAAUAUCGGGGAAAUUCUGUGAAAAAUACAUGAAGCAUUCUGUUAGAUUACAUACAUUUGGGGGGCGGUUUUUUCUACAGUGCAGGACCAACAACAGUAUUUACCAAAAGUCAGACUCCAUAUUUUCACCUCUUUGGGCUCACUCAGGUCAUUUGAACUGUGUACUGCUACUUAAAGAUGCGGAUUCUGUUUGUUCACAUGACAUAGAGUAGAGGAGGGCACAUGAGCUAAGAAGAUGAGCUGGAUCAUUCAUAUUUCCAUUGAGGUUAGUGCUAUCACGCACAGGGGAUGAUCACAGCACUGCAAUCAGGUGAGUCUCUUCCUUUAAAAUACCUGUGUGAUGCAAAAAUCUUUGUACUUGUUCAAUUAUCAGUCUCAAUUUCUUUCCCUGUAAAGUGACAGGUUUCAAUAGUCGAUCGAUCGAUCGAUCGAUAGAUCGAUAGAUCGAUAGAUAGAUAGAUAGAUAGAUAGAUAGAUAGGUGAAGCUGAAGUCAUAUUCAGCUUCACAGCACAAAUAUGAGUAAGAACAGCUGAUUGUGUGUGAGUGUAUCCAUACUACAGGAAUAAUGGAAUCACAAAAUUCCAUAUAAUGUUACACAGUCACUUAAGGAGAAGGAGGUAUUUUAAAGAACUACAAAAAACUACAAUAUUCAGACUACUAUAAUAUUUAAAUGAUAUCUAAAAACUCUUCACAGCAACGAUAGAAAGGAAAAUGUUCCUUUAAAGCACGGUGGAAUAAAUAGGUUAAGCUUAUUAAGGCGCAUUAAUAUGUCCUGUUGCUUGAGCUUUAUAUACAGCGUGGUGUUACUGCUGUUGAUAAUCCUUAACUGCAGUGUGGCUGGCAUUAAGCCCCUGAAUACAGGUGUAAAUAUAGACUCUUAGAUUUAAAACCUGCAGCUCAACCAGAUUAUGCCAGGACAUACAUUUUACAUAUCUAAGUAUAUCUUAGUAAAUCUACAAUAUGUGUUUAAAUAGCUGUUGAGGUUCUAUUUGCAAACAUCUCACAGUACUUGUCAGACAUUAGCUUCAUGAGUUCAGGCAGAAUGAAGAUAAAUCAGAAUUUAAGGCAGACUUGCAUUAUGAUGACAUUCCUGUUUUUCCUUUGUCAGACGAAACGUCUGUACUUGAUCUGAAUAGGAGAGAAAAGCUACCGAAACACAAAGUAAUUGAGAGAGAAAAAACAGGACAUAAAUGAAUGGAUGGACGGAUAAACGUAUUUCUAUUUUUGGUCCAUUAAGCCUACUGUUGUUGUGAUCCCGACCAGAUCUGCAGCUACACAAAUCCUAAAUUUUGAGAUUUUUGGUCGUAUAUCAAAACUAAGAAGACACAGUUUAGUGAAUUUAACCAGGAAUUUGGUAUGAACAUCCACCACCAAAGUAGUGCUUACUUGAAAAGCCCUUUAAUAGUACCCCAUGGUCCUUUCAUAUAACAUAAAAAGAGUUUCAUUUUCAGUGAAACUUUCUUACAGUUUCUAACAACAGUAAUAAUAAUAAUAACAAUUACUAGCACUGACACUUAUCAGCCUCAAUAACACUCAUGUCUCUUAUUUAAACUUAAAGGAAAUUAAAAGGCAACGCAGACAGAACACCACAAACUGCUUCAAAGACCUUUCAACAUGGAAGGAAGAGGUCCUAGACGCAGCCCUCAAAUUCUGCUCUCUGAUGAUGAUAGUGGUCUGUGGAUGAAGAUGGAUUCAAACCAUGUGAGCAACCACACAGAGAGUCCUUCAGCGACCUCUGGUGAAAGGCCACAAGACGAAAUCACAAUGACCUCUGCUGCUCCCACUGCUAUAAUGAGGUACUGCAGUGUGAUGGAUGAUGAAGGUGCAGAUGAUGUCUUCAUCCCUCAACCACCUCCUCCUCCACCUCGCACGGCUACAUCGCUGCCAGCAGAGAAAAGCACAGGUGCAACAGCAAGUAAGUCUGGUGUGACCCUUUCAGUUGACGCAACAGAGGCUGAAGCUAAUCCAAGAGGCUUAGACUUGCCUCAUAGUGAGGAGCAGUUAAUGGUAGCACGAAACGAGCUGGAUGAAGAGGUGACUGCAAGUACAGUGCCGUUGUCUAUGGCCAACAUAUCCAAUGAACAAGACUCCUCUCCACCAACUUAUCAAGAACAGCAAUCCAUGGACGUGACUGGUUGUCUGAUGGAAACUAGUUAUGAUACAGAUGGAAGACCUUACGGGAAUAACGCAACAGAGGAUGACAAACCUGAGGACAUUGUAAUUGUAAGUGAAGAACAGGGAAACUGCUGGGAAGCCAAUACAGAGGAAGACAAUUACCCAAAACAAACACAUUCUGAGAAUCAGAUCCAUUUAGACAAAGAAGGAGACAAAAUAAAACACAAGGACAUUGGUGAUUUUGAUGAAACAGACUCAAAACUAUUAAGAGAAAGUAUAGCUGUUGAGAGUGUGGAGGCAAAUUCUGAUGAUGAUUUCGAGCUCUGCAAAUGCAACCAAAACAGGACCAAUACAGCAACCAGUCAGACACAGGCUGCUGACUUCCAAGCAGAUACGGACAAAGACAAUGAAGAGCAUGAUGACCGUACAUCUUUGGACUAUAACCUCAUAAAGUAUGACUGUGUGAGGAAAGAAAGCGGCAGCACAGAAAUGCAAGUGCUAUCCAGCUCCAAAGGUUCUGAAGAAAGAGAGACAAUGGGGGAGCAAGAGGAUGGAAGUAGGAAAAUAUCUACUGAUAUCCAACAAGGUGAGCAACUGCUUCAUCGUCUGCAGCUGGUACAGCUACGACAUGAUGUGAAAAUGUCAGAGAACCCUCAUACCCAACAGCAGGCUGUCACGAUGGAUGAAAAAAAGGGCAUGUUUGGGACUGAAACAGAGAAUAUACCUGGUGAAGAAGAGAGGGAAGAAGGCAGAUUUGAAACUCUCAAGGACGUGGAAGAAAAGGUGAGCCUGAUGGAAAAGGAAAAUAAUGAGGACAAAGACAUUCAAACAAAAGCAAGGACAUCUUCAUCCACAAUUCCAGGAGAGUCAGAAGAAGACCAGAUUAUUGUCAGAAUAGAUCCGAGUGACUCUAAUGACAAUCAGAGUGAUAGCUGGGAUCCUGCAGAUUUGUCUCCCAGUAACCCUCACGAAACUUCUAAUGAAAUUCCAUUUCUGUCCACUGGACACCGAUUUUCAGCUGCUGAAACCUCCAUGGAGAGGCAGCUCCAUGAAGCAGCCCAGGGGAAGCAGAAGCUGCAGAGAGCUGGGGGUGUUUUCAAUCUUGCAGAAAAUCCAGAUGUGCUGGAGAUUCCCUUUAAGACAGAUGUCUCUCUUGAGUCACUUACUACCAAGGUAGGUACAAGCCAAUGCAACGAGUGGCAAUUCUCUGAACAGAAGAUGCUCAAAGAGAUAAGUCAGGAUAUUCAGAGAGAACUAGUGCUGGUCAAUCAAGGUAAAAUCCCAGGGGGGUACAGCAAAGGAGAGAUCCGCCAGUUAAAAGAGACAAAACUGCUGUUUGAAGCCUUCCAGCAGGACAAUCCGGAGGGUCCAACAAGACACCGUAAAUCCCCCACAACUCUGAGGAAAGGGCAGAUUUACCCUUCAGUGCUAGAGCGCACACGUAGCCUUGAGAUGUUUUCCCUCAAAACUUGUCCUGUUUCCAGAGCACAUUCCCUCAGGCUGUACCAAUCUGCAAACCUUGAGAAGGAAAAAAGUCCUGACAGCAUCAGAUCAAAGAGCCCAACUGGGGGUUCACGAGACAAAACUCGCUUAUCCCCUUACCCAAAACAAGACAAACACAUUCGCCUGUACAGAAGCAUGGACUCUAUAAGCAAUGACGUCUCUACGUUAGCUGUGGAGGGUAAAGCAAAGGCAGCAAACGCAAACAAAGAGUCUUCAAUCCUCAAGCAAAACCCAUUCUUCAAGUUGCGUCCAGCUCUGGCUCUACAACCAGAGGUAGAGAAGGACAUCCGAGAAGCCAAAGAAAGAGAAGAGGAGCUGCGCAAACAGAGACGCACACUGUAUGGAGAGAAGAGACAGAAUAGUGAAGAUGAACAAAAGUCACAAACACUCCCAGCAGACAUCAGAAAACAGUCACGGGGGAAACUGGAGCGGGUUUGGCCACCUCCUUCUAAAAAGGACCAGAUAAAACUGGAGCAGAUAGAGCAGGAGCCAAAAGUUCACCGAGCAGGAGGACAGAAAGCUUCUCUCUGGCAACGCUGGGAGUCCGGCCUGAUCAACGGGAAGCCGUCAAAAGAAAAGAAGUGAUGUUAUCUGUCCUGGUUCUUCAACACUACAAACAGAAUAUCAGCAGCGCUAGACUUAUAGUCAAAAUAACCCAAAUUGUUAUGCUAGUCCCAGCUUCAAGACUUCCUCGCUCUUUUAAUUCUGCUUUGUAUCUGUGACAAAUAUGCUUUUUUGUAUCUUUAUUAUUAUAAAAAAAUUAACAAUACCAGUCCAUAGAUUAUGUUAGGAAAAGCUCUUGGACCAGAACAGCCACUGUUCCAGCUGGUCCAGGAAAUAACUAGCUAGCAUUAGCAGCAACUUCCUGCUCUGUCAGAUUUAGAAAAGUUUACACUUUCAGUUGACAGUUUAACAAAAGAGGGGUCCAAUCUUAUGGAACAACAUGGUUUAUACUUUUUUUAAAAAUGAAUAUUGUACCAUAAACACAACUGUCAGUUAUGUAGACAACACUAUAAAACUAUUUAAGCUAGCCUACUUGUAAAAACUCACAUAAUGUUCUUUACUGAAUGUAGCAUGCCUAAAUCUUCAAGGGUUAACUUUGCAAGAACAAGCAAUAUGAAUAAGAUUAUGGGAUGUAUGGGAUAUAUUCUUGAGCACGGUCACUGUACAAUGUCUGCAGUGACUGUUUACUAAGCCACUCUUACUCUUGGAUUUACGUCUGAGGCCACACAGAGGAGAUUACACUGAUCACAGCUGCUUUGUUCUGCUUGAUGUAUUAUUUGUGGGUUUUGUUGCAUAUUUUCUAACAAACCUAAAGAUCAUCCCAAAACCAAAAAAUCCUAAAUGGAAAAUAAUGAUUAUUCAAAAUAAAUUUACACCGCUUGAUCCAUUGAACUGAAUUGUUUUGGUGCCCUCUAGAGGUUGUUUCAUCUCAGAAUUGAUUCCAAAUUCAAGCUGGUUGAAUAGAAUUAAAGAGAAUAGAAUUAAAGAAGAUAAACUUAACAAAGGCUUUAUUGAUUGGCCUGCAGUCACGUUUACAAGGGAGCACCUGGUUUCUAAUCUCUACACAGACAGAAGUACACAGCUUAGCCUGUCUAAGCACCAUCUGCCACCCCCACUGAGUCUGCCAAAAGAGGAAAGACUUUCACUCUGCCCUUCCUGGCUUGGUUAUCCCAGUGUUAAUUGGCUACCACUGUCACCAUCCUAUGAGCAGCAAGCAGUGCCAAGGCCAAGGUAUCA